GUGGAAGUAAUUUAAGGGUAAAAUUACCGCUUCCGAGGCGGUUCAUGCGGGUUCGAGCCCCGUCUUCCACUCCA
This 74-nucleotide transfer RNA is filed under the name Bacteriophage sp. Its description in RNAcentral is "tRNA-Arg". It matches the Rfam family "tRNA". From Rfam's summary of the family: Transfer RNA (tRNA) molecules are approximately 80 nucleotides in length. Their secondary structure includes four short double-helical elements and three loops (D, anti-codon, and T loops). The record is from RNAcentral.